Molecule: unclassified non-coding RNA, 154 nt
Filed under: uncultured fungus
Lineage: Eukaryota; Fungi
Description: sequence contains ITS1, 5.8S rRNA gene
Source: RNAcentral
UUGACCCUUAAUUUCGAGUUCAGACACAGGCCAAUUCGCUGCAUAAAGACGGCACAGAGGCGCCGAAGCACAUCGUUUUCACUUCCACAGGUUCGAGGGGUCGAAGGCCAUGGGCCUUUCAUUAAUGAUCCCUCCGCAGGUUCACCUACGGAGA